RNAcentral lists this ribosomal RNA (510 nucleotides) under uncultured bacterium. Its description in RNAcentral is "partial 16S ribosomal RNA". It matches the Rfam family "Bacterial small subunit ribosomal RNA", at positions 28 to 507 of the family's 1533-position model. The record is from RNAcentral.
GACGAACGCUGGCGGCGUGCUUAACACAUGCAAGUCGAACGAAGAGCGAUGGAAGCUUGCUUCUAUCAAUCUUAGUGGCGAACGGGUGAGUAACGCGUAAUCAACCUGCCCUUCAGAGGGGGACAACAGUUGGAAACGACUGCUAAUACCGCAUACGAUCUAAUCUCGGCAUCGAGGAUAGAUGAAAGGUGGCCUCUACAUGUAAGCUAUCACUGAAGGAGGGGAUUGCGUCUGAUUAGCUAGUUGGAGGGGUGACGGCCCACCAAGGCGAUGAUCAGUAGCCGGUCUGAGGGGAUGGACGGCCACAAUGGGACUGAGACACGGCCCAGACUCCUACGGGAGGCAGCAGUGGGGAAUCUUCCGCAAUGGACGAAAGGCUGACGGAGCAACGCCGCGUGAGUGAUGACGGCCUUCGGGUUGUAAAGCUCUGUUAAUCGGGACGAAAGGCCUUCUUGCGAAUAGUGAGAAGGAUUGACGGUACCGGAAUAGAAAGCCACGGCUAACUACGUG